CCUACGGGAGGCAGCAGUGAGGAAUAUUGGUCAAUGGCCGGGAGGCUGAACCAGCCAAGUCGCGUGAGGGAAGACGGCCCUACGGGUUGUAAACCUCUUUUGUCAGGGAGCAAGGUGCAGGUCGGGACCUGCUGUGAGAGUACCUGAAGAAAAAGCAUCGGCUAACUCCGUGCCAGCAGCCGCGGUAAUACGGAGGAUGCGAGCGUUAUCCGGAUUUAUUGGGUUUAAAGGGUGCGCAGGCGGAGGCACAAGUCAGCGGUAAAAUCGCGGGGCUCAACCCCGCUCCGCCGUUGAAACUGUGGCCCUUGAGUGCGCGAAGGGUAGGCGGAAUGCGUGGUGUAGCGGUGAAAUGCAUAGAUAUCACGCAGAACUCCGAUCGCGAAGGCAGCCUACCGGAGCGCAACUGACGCUCAUGCACGAAAGCGUGGGUAUCGAACAGGAUUAGAUACCCCAGUAGUC
RNAcentral lists this ribosomal RNA (459 nucleotides) under uncultured bacterium. RNAcentral's name for it is "partial 16S ribosomal RNA". It matches the Rfam family "Bacterial small subunit ribosomal RNA", at positions 338 to 795 of the family's 1533-position model. The record is from RNAcentral.